AUUGAACGCUGGUGGAAUGCUUUACACAUGCAAGUCGAACGGCAGCACGGACUUCGGUCUGGUGGCGAGUGGCGAACGGGUGAGUAAUGUAUCGGAACGUGCCCAGUCGUGGGGGAUAACGUAGUGAAAAUUACGCUAAUACCGCAUACGAUCUAUGGAUGAAAGCGGGGGAUCGCAAGACCUCGCGCGAUUGGAGCGGCCGAUAUCAGAUUAGGUAGUUGGUGGGGUAAAGGCCCACCAAGCCAACGAUCUGUAGCUGGUCUGAGAGGACGACCAGCCACACGGGAACUGAGAAACGGUCCAGACUCCUACGGGAGGCAGCAGUGGGGAAUUUUGGACAAUGGGCGAAAGCCUGAUCCAGCCAUUCCGCGUGCAGGAUGAAGGCCCUCGGGUUGUAAACUGCUUUUGUACAGAACGAAAAGGUUUCUACUAAUACUAGGAGCUCAUGACGGUACUGUAAGAAUAAGCACCGGCUAACUACGUGCCAGCCGCCGCCGUAA
Molecule: ribosomal RNA, 500 nt
Filed under: uncultured bacterium
Lineage: Bacteria
Description: partial 16S ribosomal RNA
Rfam family: Bacterial small subunit ribosomal RNA
Source: RNAcentral